GACAGAGGGUGCAAACGUUGUUCGGAAUUACUGGGUGUAAAGCGAGUGUAGGCGGUCUGCUAAGUCGGGUGUGAAAGCCCUGGGCUCAACCCAGGAAGUGCACUCGAAACUGGCGGGCUAGAGUAUCGGAGAGGUUGGUGGAAUUCUCGGUGUAGAGGUGAAAUUCGUAGAUAUCGAGAGGAACACCGGUGGCGAAGGCGGCGAUCUGGGCAGAUACUGACGCUGAGGUGCGAAAGCGUGGGGAGCAAACAGG
RNAcentral lists this ribosomal RNA (253 nucleotides) under uncultured bacterium. RNAcentral's name for it is "partial 16S ribosomal RNA". It matches the Rfam family "Bacterial small subunit ribosomal RNA", at positions 524 to 776 of the family's 1533-position model. The record is from RNAcentral.